UACAGAGGUCUCAAGCGUUGUUCGGAUUCAUUGGGCGUAAAGGGUGUGUAGGUGGCGCCGUAAGUCAGGUGUGAAAUCUCGGGGCUUAACUCCGAAACUGCAUUCGAUACUGCGGUGCUUGAGGACUGGAGAGGAGACUGGAAUUCAUGGUGUAGCAGUGAAAUGCGUAGAGAUCAUGAGGAAGACCAGUGGCGAAGGCGGGUCUCUGGACAGUUCCUGACACUGAGACACGAAGGCCAGGGGAGCAAACGGG
This 253-nucleotide ribosomal RNA is filed under the name uncultured bacterium. RNAcentral's name for it is "partial 16S ribosomal RNA". It matches the Rfam family "Bacterial small subunit ribosomal RNA", at positions 524 to 776 of the family's 1533-position model. The record is from RNAcentral.